This 311-nucleotide unclassified non-coding RNA is filed under the name uncultured fungus. RNAcentral's name for it is "partial contains 5.8S ribosomal RNA and internal transcribed spacer 2". The stretch from base 1 to 133 matches the Rfam family "5.8S ribosomal RNA", at positions 22 to 154 of the family's 154-position model. The record is from RNAcentral. Lineage: Eukaryota; Fungi.
UGGUUCUGGCAUCGAUGAAGAACGCAGCGAAAUGCGAUAAGUAAUGUGAAUUGCAGAAUUCAGUGAAUCAUCGAAUCUUUGAACGCACAUUGCGCCCCUUGGUAUUCCGAGGGGCAUGCCUGUUCGAGCGUCAUUAUGACCACUCAAGCCUAGCUUGGUAUUGGGGUUCGCGUGCUCGCGGCCCCUAAAAUCAGUGGCGGUGCCGUCUGGCUCUAAGCGUAGUAAUUCUCUCGCUACAGGGUCUAGCCGGUUGCUUGCCAAAACCCCAACUUUCUUAGGUUGACCUCGGAUCAGGUAGGGAUACCCGCUGA